GUCCACGCCCUAAACGAUGUCAACUAGGUGUCGGGAGCGCAAGUUCUUGGUACCGCAGCUAACGCGUGAAGUUGACCGCCUGGGGAGUACGGUCGCAAGAUUAAAACUCAAAGGAAUUGACGGGGACCCGCACAAGCGGUGGAUGAUGUGGAUUAAUUCGAUGCAACGCGAACAACCUUACCUACCCUUGACAUGUCCGGAAGGCUGCUGAAAGGUGGCUGUGCCCGCAAGGGAACUGGAACACAGGUGCUGCAUGGCUGUCGU
RNAcentral lists this ribosomal RNA (264 nucleotides) under uncultured bacterium. RNAcentral describes it as "partial 16S ribosomal RNA". It matches the Rfam family "Bacterial small subunit ribosomal RNA", at positions 793 to 1055 of the family's 1533-position model. The record is from RNAcentral.